GCUUAAAGAGGGGUUAAUGUCCUAUCAGCUAGUUGGUGGGGUAAUGGCCUACCAAGGCAAAGACGGGUAGCCGGCUUGAGAGGGUGGUCGGCCACACUGGGACUGAGACACUGCCCAGACUCCUACGGGAGGCUGCAGUCGAGAAUCUUUCGCAAUGCCCGAAAGGGUGACGAAGCGACGCCGCGUGUGGGAAGAAGGCCUUCGGGUUGUAAACCACUGUCGGGAGUUAGGAAAUGCAGGGGCGUUAAUAGCGCGCUUGCUUGACUAAGGCUCCAGAGGAAGCCACGGCUAACUCUGUGCCAGCAGCCGCGGUAAUACAGAGGCGGCAAGCGUUGUUCGGAGUUAUUGGGCGUAAAGAGCACGUAGGCGGCCUUGCAAGUCAGUUGUGAAAGCCUUCCGCUUAACGGAAGAACGGCAUCUGAUACUACAGGGCUUGAGUACGGGAGGG
This 448-nucleotide ribosomal RNA is filed under the name uncultured Planctomycetota bacterium. Its description in RNAcentral is "bacterial SSU rRNA". It matches the Rfam family "Bacterial small subunit ribosomal RNA", at positions 217 to 656 of the family's 1533-position model. Lineage: Bacteria; Pseudomonadati; Planctomycetota. The record is from RNAcentral.